AUGGGAGCUUGCUCCCUGAAGUCAGCGGCGGACGGGUGAGUAACACGUGGGCAACCUGCCUGUAAGACUGGGAUAACUCCGGGAAACCGGGGCUAAUACCGGAUAAUUCUUUCCCUCACAUGAGGGAAAGCUGAAAGAUGGUUUCGGCUAUCACUUACAGAUGGGCCCGCGGCGCAUUAGCUAGUUGGUGAGGUAACGGCUCACCAAGGCGACGAUGCGUAGCCGACCUGAGAGGGUGAUCGGCCACACUGGGACUGAGACACGGCCCAGACUCCUACGGGAGGCAGCAGUAGGGAAUCUUCCGCAAUGGACGAAAGUCUGACGGAGCAACGCCGCGUGAGUGAUGAAGGUUUUCGGAUCGUAAAACUCUGUUGUUAGGGAAGAACAAGUACCGGAGUAACUGCCGGUACCUUGACGGUACCUAACCAGAAAGCCACGGCUAACUACGUGCCAGCAGCCGCGGUAAUACGUAGGUGGCAAGCGUUGUCCGGAAUUAUUGGGCGUAAAGCGCGCGCAGGCGGUUCCUUAAGUCUGAUGUGAAAGCCCCCGGCUCAACCGGGGAGGGUCAUUGGAAACUGGGGAACUUGAGUGCAGAAGAGAAGAGUGGAAUUCCACGUGUAGCGGUGAAAUGCGUAGAGAUGUGGAGGAACACCAGUGGCGAAGGCGACUCUUUGGUCUGUAACUGACGCUGAGGCGCGAAAGCGUGGGGAGCAAACAGGAUUAGAUACCCUGGUAGUCCACGCCGUAAACGAUGAGUGCUAAGUGUUAGAGGGUUUCCGCCCUUUAGUGCUGCAGC
This 796-nucleotide ribosomal RNA is filed under the name Bacillus sp. (in: firmicutes). Its description in RNAcentral is "bacterial SSU rRNA". It matches the Rfam family "Bacterial small subunit ribosomal RNA", at positions 72 to 852 of the family's 1533-position model. The record is from RNAcentral. Lineage: Bacteria; Bacillati; Bacillota; Bacilli; Caryophanales; Bacillaceae.